UUCCUUUUCUUCUCUCUCGACAAAAUCAAAACGAGAGAAAUGCAAAAUCGAUUCGACGGAAUAGCUCUUGCCUCGUCGUCUUCUUCUUCCUAUGACUGUAUUCAUCGAUAUCGGUUGAUGAAUACAGUGGUGAAAGAGAUCUCGCCUUGUCGUCUUCUAAAUCGAUUCCACGAGGCAUUAGAGGCUGCACAAAAGAGAUGGACUACAAGCGAUUUCGAUGUUGGGAAGGCUGUUGGUAGAGGAAAGUUUGGCCAUGUUUAGAAAGCAAGAGAAAAGCGGCAGAGCAUAUUCGGACUGUUCCUCCCGUGAUUGUGAAUGCAGCGAAGUCACGUCAACACAAGAGAACGAAAUUGUCUGGUCUGUCGUACAUGCUCUUCCCGUGAGGACGCACAAGGUUCCCUAAACCCGUGAACACGUUUGUUCAAUAAACUUGUAUAUAUACCAAGUAUGUAUCGGCUACUCUUGAUUAUAAAAACUCUCACAUUUCAAAUAAGCUCCCAAUUGCAAACAA
Long non-coding RNA from Camelina sativa (false flax), 511 nucleotides. RefSeq lists it as uncharacterized. Lineage: Eukaryota; Viridiplantae; Streptophyta; Magnoliopsida; Brassicales; Brassicaceae. The record is from RefSeq and is a predicted model, not a curated record.